GUCACUUUGCCGGAGUGGUUAACGGGAUCGCCUGCUACCUUUGUAGUCCAGCGGUUGGUCUUUGACCGCGAGUGUUCGAAUCGCUCAGGUGAGG
This is a transfer RNA of 94 nucleotides. It matches the Rfam family "tRNA". Rfam says of the family: Transfer RNA (tRNA) molecules are approximately 80 nucleotides in length. Their secondary structure includes four short double-helical elements and three loops (D, anti-codon, and T loops). Further hydrogen bonds mediate the characteristic L-shaped molecular structure. tRNAs have two regions of fundamental functional importance: the anti-codon, which is responsible for specific mRNA codon recognition, and the 3' end, to which the tRNAs corresponding amino acid is attached (by aminoacyl-tRNA synthetases). tRNAs cope with the degeneracy of the genetic code in two manners: having more than one tRNA (with a specific anti-codon) for a particular amino acid; and 'wobble' base-pairing, i.e. permitting non-standard base-pairing at the 3rd anti-codon position.